Molecule: ribosomal RNA, 430 nt
Filed under: beta proteobacterium enrichment culture clone MLSB30m1B
Lineage: Bacteria; Pseudomonadati; Pseudomonadota; Betaproteobacteria
Description: bacterial SSU rRNA
Rfam family: Bacterial small subunit ribosomal RNA
Source: RNAcentral
AACUAUCCGAAAGGAUAGCUAAUACCGCAUACGUCCUGAGGGAGAAAGCGGGGGACCUGCAAGGGCCUCGCGCGAUUGGAGCGGCCGAUAUCGGAUUAGCUAGUUGGUGGGGUAAAGGCCCACCAAGGCGACGAUCCGUAGCGGGUCUGANAGGACGACCCGCCACACUGGAACUGAGACACGGUCCAGACUCCUACGGGAGGCAGCAGUGGGGAAUUUUGGACAAUGGGGGCAACCCUGAUCCAGCCAUUCCGCGUGAGUGAAGAAGGCCUUCGGGUUGUAAAGCUCUUUCAGCAGGAACGAAACGGUCGGCCUGAAUACGGUCGGCUAAUGACGGUACCUGCAGAAGAAGCACCGGCUAACUACGUGCCAGCNGCCGCGGUAAUACGUAGGGUGCGAGCGUUAAUCGGAAUUACUGGGCGUAAAGCGU